Molecule: long non-coding RNA, 1761 nt
Organism: Homo sapiens (human)
Lineage: Eukaryota; Metazoa; Chordata; Mammalia; Primates; Hominidae
Exons: 3
Source: RefSeq, a predicted model, not a curated record
CAUUGGUCUGUCUCUGCCUCUGCUUCUCUGUUUCUCUGUGUCUGUUUCCUUUCUCAGGCCCUGGCAUGGCUCAUGGCAAUUAUCUCCACCCCCACCCACCCCUCACAGCUGACAACACGUUUCCCGUGUGAGACUCUGUGUCUCCCGAGAAGCAGACACCAAGACAGGAUGAGAGAUGCACAGAUUUUAUUGGGAAAAACACCUGCAGGAGAAAACGGUCAUCAGAGCCUGAACAAGUCCUCCCGCAAUGACCUACCAGGUGGUGCCAGGCCUGUAGCAGGUACCCUGGAUCGGAUCGGCUGCUCUGCUCCACGAGGCUCCCAGCACCAUCUCAGCAGGUCGGCGCUGCCUCAGGUCUGAAAUGAUGUCUUCUCUUUCCUGUUUUCUGAGCAGCUCAUUCUGCUGCCCGUCAAAUAGGCCCUUUCCCCAGGACCCUUGGGGUCCAGCUGAGUGGAGCAGCCUCCCACACUGGAAGCCUUGAGUUUUCCCCACCUGGGCCUUUCUCUCUGUCCCUGACAUCCGGUUGGUCACCAGAUCCUGGCAGUUGAAAGUCAUUCUCAAGUCCAGCCCCACCACUGCACCUCGGUCCAUGCUCCUGGACACCAGUCUCUCACCGAGCGCUAUGCGUGGCUUGCGUCUGCGGCUGAGAAAUCCUUUCAAACGCACGCCUUCCCUAUUAUAUCCAGCAUAGGAUCUGACCCGGCAGGACCUCAGUAAAGACUUGUGGCUGCUUUAAGAGUGGGCACCUGCCGUCACAUUUUCCUCAGCAUUUUCCCUAUGCUGCUGGCGCAUUGGGUAGCUCUACUCAACCCAUGACGGAUUGCAGAUCUUUUGGCCGCUGCAUUCACAAAUUUGUCCCGAGCCGCUCCAUGGAAGGCAUCCCAGAAGCCUAUCAAUCUUCCCAUGAGUGUUCAAGAUUCCCAAAUCCCCAAAAGGCCCUAAUACCAUCUCUGUGUGAGCAGCUGCCCAUGUGUUGGGGAGUGCCCUGCCUGAGGCAGAGGGCGCACUGCAUCUGUUUGGAGGUGGGUGAGCCUCACGUGUUCUGCACAGGGCAUGAGGUAGGCAUUGGAGAGCAGCCCUGGCCCCCCCACCCAGGGGACAGUAGGUGGGGUUCUAAAUUAUGAGUCAUUAAUCAGCUCUUCAUAUGUCUGAAUUAUUCAUAAAGUAAGUGCUUGUGGUUUGGAUGCUAGUCUAUGAAUAUAUAGGCAAAUUAUUUAUUAUGGCAUUUACAUGGAUUUUGCAAAAAAGUUUUCCAGAAACCCUUUAGGUUCAGUGGUUGAAUUUAACAAAUAUUUCCUGUGCACCUACUCUAUGACAGAAAUUGUGAUUGGCGUUAAAGACAUAAAGAUGAAUAGGAUAAUAAGCACCUGCCUUCAGUGUGCUCUGGGUUAGCAGGGAGAACACACAAUCCAGCUGGUCCACAGAGGCUGACUUAUUAACAACAUUUAUCACAGCAUGUGGGAAAUAUGAGCUAACUGUAUUUCAGAUAGUAACAUGACCACGCCAAAACCAAACCAAAUCAAAACAAGGCAAGAAACCAAACCAACAAACCAACCCCACCACCACAACAGAAACUAACCCAAGUAACAUUGAACACGGAACCUUGACCUAUAACCCUUGUCCUGCAGACAAAAUACCUGCAAACAAAUAUUGAACUUGACUUGUGGGUUUGCUUUCACUGUGGUGCAAGGUAGCAAUUCUGUAAUGAUUUUCUGUCUUGUAGGGUUGAGCAAAUACAAGAUUCCACCAGUGCUGUUGGAA